This 1233-nucleotide long non-coding RNA is filed under the name Lathyrus oleraceus (garden pea). Its description in RNAcentral is "Pisum sativum (pea) long non-coding RNA (PSAT_LNC022028)". The record is from RNAcentral. Lineage: Eukaryota; Viridiplantae; Streptophyta; Magnoliopsida; Fabales; Fabaceae.
UGGUUCUGCUUCUCGUUUCGUGAUCCAUCGACGACUGUGGUUUAGGUUUAGGUAUAGAUUUCACCAUGUCAGAUUCCGAUUCUUCCUCUUAUGGCGGCGAAUACAAAAACCUCAAACAAUUAGUCGCGAGAGUAAGUUCUUUUCUUCUUGUGGUAUGAUUGUUGAACUUGUUCCGUUUAUUCUUCUCUUUUUUUUUGUUGUCUUCGCGUUGUAAGCGAAUGCUAUUCAGUGUAUUCUCAUGGUUUUGAUUUGAGUGUCGGCAUUAUUAACUUCACUUUGCUCUUCACACAUUGGUUCUGUUUUAGUUAACACUAGUAUAAUUUGUGUUUUGGCGCUGUAAUUUUUUGUUUGGUUUCUCUGCAGUUUGAUUAGUUAACACUAGAAGAAAUGUGCAAUUCAAAGUCAUGACUAGUGUCUCAAAAUGCGAGCUGUGCGAACCAGUUUUGCAAGAUUUUAAGUUAUGCCGAUUAGAAUCUUCUAACAUAAGUCCCAGGAUCAAGAUUUAGUGUCUUCCUCUUUCUAGUUCAGGAAAUUUCUUCUUCUUCUCUGUUUCACUAAUGCAUAUUCUCUUCACCAAUUCUGCAAGUAAUAUUUGGUUAAUUCUAGUUGUGGAUACGAUGUUCUGCCAUAUUGAAUGGAGAAGUUAUCUGAGGAUAUAUUGCAAUGGACAUGUUUCAGAAAUAGACAAUGUGUUAGAGUAAUGUAUCUUGUUAUAACACUUCUUUGAUGAUGUUAAAUAUAGGAACCAUCUGCAGAUGGUAUGUUUCAGGAGUUUUCCAUCUCUUUGAAACUCCAAAUUUUUUGACACCUUAUUGGCUGUAUGUUCUGAAUUCCUUUUGCUUGUCUCCGUUAUUGCCCAUAUUCCUCUCUGUAAUUAGAAUUUGGACUAAAGACUUCUUUGUGAUGCACACCUAGAAGCAAAGUUCUGGUUCCCAACAGUAUUGCCCACUUUCUUUAUUCCUGCUAGUCUACUUUGAAAGUCCUUGCUCCCCAUGUAAAUUUUUUCAUUUAAACUUCACAACUAAGUAUGUUCAAUUGAAUCAACAACAACAACAACAACCAAGUCUUAUCCCACUAAAGUGGGGUCGCCUACAUGGAUCAAAUUACGCCAUAAUGUUCUAUCAAUGACCAUGUUUCUAUUUGAUCAAUGUCAUAGAGAUUCAACAAAGCUUUACGCUAACUGUCGACUGCCUAUCUCAACACUCUUCUUUUAUCCGGACUUGAGACCGCUAU